Molecule: long non-coding RNA, 844 nt
Organism: Eptesicus fuscus (big brown bat)
Lineage: Eukaryota; Metazoa; Chordata; Mammalia; Chiroptera; Vespertilionidae
Exons: 2
Source: RefSeq, a predicted model, not a curated record
CAGGGACACCCGGGCUCCCGCCUCCCGCGCAGGGCGGCCGCCCCACGUGACGGGAAGCGGCGGCGGCGCGGCCGGCCCAGCCCAGGAGCCGCGGCCGGAGCGGGCGGCGGGCGGCGGGCCCAGGCCCAGGGCCGGCGGGACGCGGGGGCCGGCGGGCGCCGCGCCGGAGCAGGCCAUUGGGACCGGCGCUGGACGCAGGUAGCAGGUGCGAGCGGCAUCUCCGGCGCUGGCUGCGGGUGUGAGGGGGUCGGCGCCAGCAGUGGGUGCAAGUGCCGGGUGGGACCGCGGCGUGCGGGAGCAAAGAAUUUUCAGUAACCACCAGAGGCUCGCCCCACCUUGGUCUGGCGCCCCUGCUCACCUGCUCCACCAUCCCGCCGCAGCCAACACUCACCAUGUUGUGCGCUCUGCUACCCACGCCGAUGCCCACCGUGUUCUGCGCGCACCCUCUGGUGGUCAGCACACGUCAUAGCCACCAGUUGUUCUGACAUUCGGUCUAUUUGCAUAUUAGGGUUUUAUGUAUAGAGAUGACAUCUGUGGAUUCUCAACUGCAGAUUAAAAAUAUUGUUUUCAGCCCUAGCUGGUUUGGCUCAGUGGAUAGACCUCAGCCCACAGACUGAAGGAUCCCAAGUUCGAUUUCGGUCAAGGGCACAUACCUCAGUUGCUGGCUCAAUCUGGGGCAGGCUUGAUCCAGGGCACGUGUGGGAGGCAACCAAUUGAUGUGUCUCUCUCACAUCGAUGUUUCUCUCUGUCCCCUCCUCCCUUCUACUCUCUCUAAAACUCAAUGGAAAAAAUAUCCUUGGGUGAGGAUUAACAAAAAAUAAAUAAAAUGUUGUUUUCAACUGUA